RNAcentral lists this ribosomal RNA (253 nucleotides) under uncultured bacterium. RNAcentral's name for it is "partial 16S ribosomal RNA". It matches the Rfam family "Bacterial small subunit ribosomal RNA", at positions 524 to 776 of the family's 1533-position model. The record is from RNAcentral.
UACGGGGGGGGCAAGCGUUGUUCGGAAUUACUGGGCGUAAAGGGUUUGUAGGUGGCUUGCUAAGUCAGACGUGAAAUCCCUCAGCUUAACUGGGGAACUGCGUCUGAGACUGGCAGGCUUGAGUGCAGGAGAGGAACGCGGAAUUCCAGGUGUAGCGGUGAAAUGCGUAGAUAUCUGGAGGAAUACCGGUGGCGAAGGCGGCGUUCUGGACCAUUACUGACACUGAAUCGCGAAAGCUAGGGGAGCAAACGGG